GUUGGGGUGGCAGAGCCCGGUAACUGCGAAAGGCCUAAGCCCUUUCUACGGAGGUUCAAGUCCUCCCCUCAACC
Molecule: transfer RNA, 74 nt
Filed under: Pungitius pungitius (ninespine stickleback)
Lineage: Eukaryota; Metazoa; Chordata; Actinopteri; Perciformes; Gasterosteidae
Also listed under: 3 other names
Description: tRNA-Leu (UUR)
Rfam family: tRNA
About the family: Transfer RNA (tRNA) molecules are approximately 80 nucleotides in length. Their secondary structure includes four short double-helical elements and three loops (D, anti-codon, and T loops).
Source: RNAcentral